Long non-coding RNA from Triticum aestivum (bread wheat), 367 nucleotides. RefSeq lists it as uncharacterized. Lineage: Eukaryota; Viridiplantae; Streptophyta; Magnoliopsida; Poales; Poaceae. The record is from RefSeq and is a predicted model, not a curated record. The transcript is spliced from 2 exons.
GGGGGACAUACAGCAAACACCAUGGGAGAGGGCUGGAGAGAAGAAGAGGCAUGGCAGAGAGGCAAUUACCUGGAAGAAGAACACAAGCAGUCACUUGGGGAUCACAACAAGAUCAUCCCAGAGACAAAUCGCAGGGGGCAGCAAGCAACGAGCAAUAACUGGAGAAGAUCUACUAUCAAUGUCACUAGAAGACCUCAUACUAAAUGUGAGUUACAAAUGCCCAGAAAUAACAAAGUAUAAGUUGAACUACUCUGCAGACAUGGCAAGAAAUGCAUGAAGAUGAUUCAACAGGCGAAGAGGCAGCAGCGGAAGCUAAUCACUGGGAGGCAGCCCUGUUUGAGAACAUGAACAUACAACAUGAGUGAGA